UACGGAGGGUGCGAGCGUUGUCCGGAAUCAUUGGGCGUAAAGGGCGCGUAGGUGGCCCGGUCAGUCUUUGGUGAAAGCGCGGGGCUCAACCCUGCGUCGGCCAGGGAUACUGCCGCGGCUCGAGCACUGUAGAGGCAGGCGGAAUUCCGGGUGUAGCGGUGGAAUGCGUAGAGAUCCGGAAGAACACCGGUGGCGAAGGCGGCCUGCUGGGCAGUUUGGCUGACACUGAGGCGCGACAGCGUGGGGAGCAAACAGG
This 256-nucleotide ribosomal RNA is filed under the name uncultured bacterium. RNAcentral's name for it is "partial 16S ribosomal RNA". It matches the Rfam family "Bacterial small subunit ribosomal RNA", at positions 524 to 776 of the family's 1533-position model. The record is from RNAcentral.